RNAcentral lists this small nuclear RNA (100 nucleotides) under Physeter macrocephalus (sperm whale). The record is from RNAcentral. Lineage: Eukaryota; Metazoa; Chordata; Mammalia; Artiodactyla; Physeteridae.
UUGCUUCUACAGCACGUAUACUAACAUGGAAACGAUACAGAGAUAAGCAAGGCCACUGUGCAAGGACGAUGCACCAAUUCAUGAAGCAUUCCAUAUAUUU